RNAcentral lists this ribosomal RNA (254 nucleotides) under uncultured bacterium. RNAcentral's name for it is "partial 16S ribosomal RNA". It matches the Rfam family "Bacterial small subunit ribosomal RNA", at positions 524 to 776 of the family's 1533-position model. The record is from RNAcentral.
UACGUAGGGGGCGAGCGUUGUCCGGAUUCAUUGGGCGUAAAGAGCUCGUAGGCGGCUUGGCAAGUCGGGUGUGAAAACUCCAGGCUUAACCUGGAGACGCCACCCGGGACUGCUAUGGCUAGAGUCCGGUAGGGGAUCACGGAAUUCCUGGUGUAGCGGUGAAAUGCGCAGAUAUCAGGAGGAACACCGGUGGCGAAGGCGGUUCUCUGGGACGGUACUGACGCUGAGACGCGAAAGCGUGGGGAGCGAACAGG